GUGUCAGCCGCCGCGGUAAGACAGAGGUUGCAAACGUUGUUCGGAAUUACUGGGCAUAAAGCGCACGUAGGCGGUCCGUUAAGUCAUGUGUGAAAUCCCCCGGCUCAACCGGGGAAUUGCGCCUGAUACUGGCGGGCUAGAGGUCGAUAGGGGUGAGCGGAACUCCAGGUGGAGCGGUGAAAUGCGUAGAUAUCUGGAGGAACACCGGUGGCGAAAGCGGCUCACUGGAUCGAAACUGACGCUGAGGUGCGAAAGCUAGGGUAGCAAACGGGAUUAGAAACCCGCGUAGUCC
Molecule: ribosomal RNA, 292 nt
Filed under: uncultured bacterium
Lineage: Bacteria
Description: partial 16S ribosomal RNA
Rfam family: Bacterial small subunit ribosomal RNA
Source: RNAcentral